UGCUGUGGAUGAUGAGAUCAAUAAUUUACAGUUAUCCCUGUCUGAUGUAGCAGGUGCUGAAAACUUGUAAUCUGACCCGCA
RNAcentral lists this small nucleolar RNA (81 nucleotides) under Phaseolus vulgaris (common bean). Its description in RNAcentral is "Small nucleolar RNA R38". It matches the Rfam family "Small nucleolar RNA R38". Rfam says of the family: snoR38 is a C/D box small nucleolar RNA conserved across yeast, human, Arabidopsis and rice. The record is from Rfam by way of RNAcentral. Lineage: Eukaryota; Viridiplantae; Streptophyta; Magnoliopsida; Fabales; Fabaceae.